GACUUCCCACGAGCAUCCAUAAGAACAGGGUGCAGAAAUCCUUGGAGCCUUUGGUCUGAUGCAGCAGGAAUCCUCUUAUGUUUUUAUAAUCUGAUUCCAGACUCAUGGUUGGAUCCUUGUAUUGAAUUAGGUGAGACAUACUCUUUUGUCUAAUGUAAUGUACUUCAAUGUGUAAUGUAAUGUUCAAUGCAACAGAAUUGAUUUGGCUGCAUCCCUGCCCCAUAAGGCAGGAGAAAAGUCCUGUUGCUCUGCUGUGACCUCCCUGCCAAUUUAGAUACAGUGACUGAACUGGAGGCCCCUCGACUGACUUCAGGUCCAGUGUUGGACCAUUUCGAUCGGAUACUCCCUACUGAUGUGGAUAGAUUCCUCCAAGUUGAUAGGCCCACCACCUGCCUCCUUGAUCCGUGCCCGUCUUGGCUGAUUAGGGAGUGUCCAGAUGUUGCGCGGAGCCCCCUGGUUGAAAUGAUCAAUUUGUCCCUUGACACGGGGACAUUCCCAGGGGAACUGAAGGAAGCAGUGGUGUAUCCACUCUUAAAGAAAACUUCAUUAGAUCCCUUAGACCUAUCCAAUUACCACCCAGUUUCAAAUCUUCCAUACCUUGGUAAGGUAAUUGAGAGAGCGGUUGCUGAACAGCUUGGUAGGUUUCUGGAGGAAACAUCGGCAUUAGAUCCAUUUCAGUCCGGUUUCCGUCCUGGUUUUGGGACGGAGACGGCUCUGGUUGCCCUAACAGAUGAUCUCCGUAGACAACUGGAUCGAGGCGGGUCAGGACUGCUGAUCCUUUUAGGUUUGUCAGCAGCCUUUGACAUGGUCGAUCAUGAUCUUCUGGACCACCGCCUCGCAGACGUGGGGAUACAGGGCAUAGCCCGUAACUGGUUGUGCUCUUUUAUCUCUGGUCGGGGACAGAGGGUGGCACUAGGGAGGGAAAUGUCGUCGCGCCACUCCUUGGUGUGUGGAGUGCCGCAGGGCACAAUUCUCUCCCCGAUGCUUUUUAACAUCUUUAUGCGGCCCCUUGCCCAGAUUAUCCGGAGCUUUGGGCUGGGCUGUCACCAAUAUGCUGAUGACACUCAGCUCUAUCUGCUGAUGGAUGGCCACACCGACUCAGCCCCAAGCACACUGACCAGAUGCUUGGAAGCUGUAGCUGGAUGGUUUCGUGGGAGCCGAUUGAAACUAAAUCCUUCAAAGACAGAGGUCCUAUGGCUAGGUCAGGAUGGCAUGGGGAUGAGGGACCAACUCCCUUCUCUUGCGGGGGCCCAAUUAGUGCCAUUGCCUUCCGUUAAGAGUUUGGGUGUAAUCCUUGACGCCUCCCUUCCAUGGAGGCGCAAGUUACAGCAACAGCCAAGGCGACAUUUUUCCACCUUCGCCGCAUCAAGCAGUUGGUCCCUUACCUUUCCCGCCCCGACCUGGCCACAGUGAUCCAUGCGACGGUCAUCUCCAGGCUUGACUACUGUAAUUCGCUCUACGCGGGGCUGCCCUUGAAGCUGUCCCAGAAACUCCAGCAGGUACAGAAUGCUGCAGCGAGGCUCCUCACGGGGUCUCUGCCAUGGGAGCAUAUUCACCCAGUGCUUUUCAAGCUGCACUAGCUCCCGGUGGAGUACAGGGUCAGAUUUAAGGUGCUGGUUUUGAUCUUUAAAGCCCUUCAUGGCCUAGGACCCAAGUGGUCCCAGGCCCUAAGGAAGUUAGAGUGGCUUCAACCAGAGCCAGGGCCUUUUCAACUCUGGCUCCGGCCUGGUGGAACGCUCUGCCUCAUGAGACCAGGGCCCUGCAGGAUCUGAUUUCUUUCCGCAGAAUCCGAGACCAGGGAGAAGAAUCGGUGGAAGAAGACUGGAAAAAGUUUAAAGACUAUUUACAGAAAUACUGUAAAAUUAAUGAAUGUUAGAAAAAUGUUGGAAUGAAUUUAUAUGGCUUUAGUAGAAAUGUUAUAAGGAAUUAAGUAUAAAUAGAUUAAUAGAGUAUUAAAGGGAAAAUAAGGUUAGAAUGUGUUAAGAUAAUUAUAGGAUAGAAAACAGAGGAAGAUGGAAAGGAAUUGCUGAAACAAUUAACAGAAGUGGAAUACAAAAAGGGAGGUGUGAGGAGGUUGUGGAAACAAGUGAAUGAAAGAUAAGAUAAUGAAAUGGUUUGAUGUGUUUUAAAUGGGUUUUGUUUUUGUUUUAUUAGUUUUAUGUGUUAGUGUUUUGUAGUGUUUUUGUAUUGUAUUGCAUUGUCUUCUUUUUUUAGGUUUUUUCUUUUGUAGUGUUGUGUUUAAAUUGUUGGAAAAUUUAUAAAUAUUAUAUAUAUAUAUAUAUAAAAAAGAUUUCUUUCCGCAGGGCCUGUAAGACAGAGUUGUUCCGCCUGGCCUUUGGCUUGGAGCCAAUUUGAUUCCCUCCCUCCCUCUCUUUUUUUCUUUUCCUUCUCCUCCUGCGAUGAGGCUACAUUUUAAUAUUUUAAUGUUCCAUUAUUUUAAUGUUGUAUUUUAUUUUUGUUUUUAAGUUGUAAUCAUUCAUCUUGUUUUUAUUAUUGCUUGUAAGCCGCUCUGAGCCCAGCCUUGGCUGGGGAGGGCGGGGUAUAAAUAAAUUAUUAUUAUUAUUAUUAUUAUUAUUAUUAUUAUUAUUAUUAGUGAUGGGCCAUACCCACACCAUACAUUUAAGGCAAUAGACAGUCCCAAAGAAUCCUGGGAAGUAUAGUUUCUUAGGGGUGCUGAGAGUUGUUUAGAGUCCCCUAUUCUUCUCACGGAGCUACAGUUCCCAGAGUUCCUUAGGAAGAGAGCGUGAUUGUUAAACCUCAUGGGUGGGCUAGCCCUGUGUAGUUCUGUGCUGGGAAUAGGGAUCACCUAACAAAUCUCAGCAUCCUUAACACACUACAGCUCCCAGAUUUCUUUGGAGGAAGCCAUGGCUGUUUAAAGUGGUAUAAUACUGCUGACAUGGACGUGGCCGUGGUUUGCUUUUUUUACAGCUCUCCUCAUUUCCCAUAGAAGCAGCCUGACUUGGAAAUCUAUUUGGAUUUGGCUGUGUAUAUGACAACUUUUCUGUCCCCCUGUCUUCAAAGCUGCUUGCAGUCAUAAAAAGUAACUUAAUAAAAGC
Molecule: long non-coding RNA, 3056 nt
Filed under: Podarcis lilfordi (Lilford's wall lizard)
Lineage: Eukaryota; Metazoa; Chordata; Lepidosauria; Squamata; Lacertidae
Source: RNAcentral